UUAUUUAUAAAAAAUUAAAAUCAAACAAAACUUAAAAAUAACUCUAAUUGCAUUAUAAAAAAAAUUAAACAUUUUUGAAAAAGCCUCCUAAAAAACAAUCAAGAAACGUAUAAGCCAAAAAUGUUUGACCAUGAAAAAUAAACGCGUUAGACACUUCAAUUAUUACCAUCGCAAAUAGAAAAAGAUUCUUCAUAAUUUUUUCCUUUCUUUCCCUCUACAAUACAAAGGUUACAAGCAUGCAACAACCGACGAAUAACCAUGUAGCAUUUGAAGGGUUAUAAAAAGAAUUAAUUAAUGGCAGAGGGGUUUAAAUGAAAUUUAAACUCAAAAGAAUUAAUCAAUGGGGAAUUCUAUUUGCAUUACUGUUUUUGCUUUGUAUACCGUUAUUCAAAAAAUUUUUUAAGUGAAAUUAUUAAAAUAUUUUUCUCUUAAAUUUUAUAAUUUUCAGAAAUAGAUUUUCAAUAAAUUAUAACAUUUCUUAAAAAUAUAUUUUUCAGAAGCCAUAACACUUAUCAAAAAUAUAUUUUUAAAAGUGUUA
RNAcentral lists this long non-coding RNA (538 nucleotides) under Durio zibethinus. RNAcentral describes it as "long non-coding RNA (DZIB_LNC000544)". The record is from RNAcentral. Lineage: Eukaryota; Viridiplantae; Streptophyta; Magnoliopsida; Malvales; Malvaceae.